This 637-nucleotide ribosomal RNA is filed under the name uncultured bacterium. Its description in RNAcentral is "bacterial SSU rRNA". It matches the Rfam family "Bacterial small subunit ribosomal RNA", at positions 851 to 1501 of the family's 1533-position model. The record is from RNAcentral.
GCGAAAGUGAUAAGUAAUCCACCUGGGGAGUACGAUCGCAAGGUUGAACUCAAAGGAAUUGACGGGGGCCCGCACAAUCGGUGGAGCAUGUGGUUUAAUUCGAUGAUACGCGAGGAACCUUACCAGGGCUUAAAUGCAGAACGACAGAGGUGGAAACACCUCCUUCUUCGGACGGUCUGCAAGGUGCUGCAUGGUUGUCGUCAGCUCGUGCUGUGAAGUGUCGGGUUAAGUCCCAUAACGAGCGCAACCCCUAUUUCUAGUUGCCAGCGGUUCGGCCGGGGACUCUAGAGAAACUGCCAGCGUAAGCUGUGAGGAAGGUGGGGAUGACGUCAAAUCAUCACGGCCCUUACGUCCUGGGCCACACACGUGCUACAAUGGUGAGGACAGAGAGUCGCCAACCCGCGAGGGUGAGCUAAUCUUCAAACCUCAUCUCAGUUCGGAUCGAAGUCUGCAACUCGACUUCGUGAAGUUGGAAUCGCUAGUAAUCGCAGAUCAGCCAUGCUGCGGUGAAUACGUUCCCGGGCCUUGUACACACCGCCCGUCAAGCCAUGGAAGCUGGGGGCGCCUGAAGUCGGUUACCGCAAGGAGCUGCCUAGGGCGAAACUAGUAACUGGGGCUAAGUCGUAACAAGGUAGCC